GGGGGCUCUACCGCGGGAGGGCGGGAGGGGAGAGGAUUACCCCCAGCCCUGAACGAUUCUGAUUAAACUGCCAGGUUGUGGACUCUCCUCAUGGAUGCAAGGACAAGUACCAGCCGUCUGAGUCAGAAAACAAUGAGUUACUACAGAGGUUUUUUUUUUUUUCCCCUUUCCAGUUCCUGUUUCCAUCUGAUAAUUUCUGCUACUUCAUGUAACAUGAGUAAGGGCAUUUCUUAACCCCUGCAGGCUCAGCGUUAAAGUUAACCAAAGCAAGAACCAAUGAACGUGGAGCAAAAGCGUGUAAUACAGGAGCCUUUUGAGGAGUAUGGAAUUAAAAUUGAAAUAGAAUCAACAUAUUCAUCAAAUUUUUCUCAAUCCGUUUCUAUUGCUUUAAAUGGAAUUAGCUAAGGAGGAUGUGUACACUCAACCCCUGUAGAAUUAUUGAAAGCCUUGUGAACAGACACAAGGCCAUGUGAAAACUGACCUUUCAUUGGCAAGUAAGACCCACACGGCAUACACCUCCAACUGGAAGUAUGAAGUUGAGAAGAUUGAAGUGUAUUCUCUGGAGGGAGGUGUAUUCUGGAAACGGAUUUUUUUUUAUUAAGAAUGAAGGCUCGUUUGAAACAUCUGGAAUUGUAUCCAUACCCAGACUUGCCAUAAUACGAAAGCCUUCCUGAAGCAGGUAAUGAAGAACAAUUAUUUUCUCAUAAAGUAAAAGAAGCCAGUGCGACUGGGGAAGACUUGAUAAAGCUGAGUAUCUAAGGAAAGGGCUCAGUUGAUUUGUGGAGAAAAAUGAGGAAAUGUUUUCUCUUUGGAGAAAAAUGAGGAAACAGAAGCUGUAGUUCUACUGAAAAAAAAAAUGGCGGUUAUCCAACUCCAGAAUGAGGGUGGUUCUUCCAAUGUUUUAGAGGAGUUCCUGGAGUAGUUACAUUAUUCUUCUUGACCAAAAUACUUGAUACGACUGCACAGGGAUAUGCCAUCAAAGAAGAAUUUCUAUUUUGUGAGCCCUUUGGGAAAUUGCUAAGGCUAGAAAUGACUUUAAGAAUGAUGAAGCAUAAUUUUACUGAGGGGAAAAAAAAGCCAAAACCCUGACACCCUAAAAUGUUCAGCAACACCCCUGGGUUUUGCUUCUCUGGUGAAGAAAUUGGAUUCAAAUGUCAUGAUAGAAAUGAGAUUUACGUUCUUUCUGCAAGGGCACACCUGAUGGAAAAAGCAACUACUCUAGAAGCAUGCAAGUUAUCAUGGUAGGAGUCUGGGCCUUAAGCACUAUCUUUUUAGAAAGGAAUGUGAAGCAAUAAUAGAAAAAUAUCAGUAUGCCUUUGACUACACAGAGCUUCCCUAGUUUUCCAGAGGAUGUUGACAUAUGUCUAACCCUAUUUUCUGGAGAAGUUUUAGUUUUUAAGAGAAAAGAAUAACCCUCAAAAUAAUUCCAAAGAGGCAUUUAAUCAGGGAGUUUGGCUCAUUUAGUGAUAAUUACAGCUGGUCAGUUGAAUGAGUAAAUCUUUUCAUUUUUAAAGAUGCAGAAUAAGCAGUCGUUUUAGACGAACAGCCAUCAUGCUGGCAGAGGUCAGAAAUUGAAAUACUAAGUUUGGAAUGCCAUAAAUGAAUGCUGAUGUAGAGAGGAUCUACUACUUCUCAAUUUUGCUGCAUGCAAAAUUCUCAGAACCCUUUCUCAAGUAUGCUUCUACCCAGAUGAAUGGGAAAGGAACAGUCCUUGACUUCCUGACAAGACUUCAACUCGGGGCCUUAGAAGAUUCUAGAUAGGCCUGCCUUAACAUACUCCGGUAUCUAGCAAAUUAUAUGAAUUCUAACUUUCUCUGCUAUUACGACUACAUACCUCCAGGGAUUAGCAUUUUCAGGAAUCUCAAAAUGAAAUAAAAAUAAA
Canis lupus familiaris (dog) is the source of this 1882-nucleotide long non-coding RNA. RefSeq lists it as uncharacterized. The record is from RefSeq and is a predicted model, not a curated record. The transcript has 3 exons. Lineage: Eukaryota; Metazoa; Chordata; Mammalia; Carnivora; Canidae.